GCGCGCUUAGCUCAGUUGGUAGAGCACAUUCUUGACGUGAAUGGGGUCAUAGGUUCGAGUCCUAUAGCGCGCA
This 73-nucleotide transfer RNA is filed under the name Candidatus Yanofskyibacteriota bacterium. RNAcentral describes it as "Candidatus Yanofskybacteria bacterium tRNA-Val". It matches the Rfam family "tRNA". From Rfam's summary of the family: Transfer RNA (tRNA) molecules are approximately 80 nucleotides in length. Their secondary structure includes four short double-helical elements and three loops (D, anti-codon, and T loops). Lineage: Bacteria; Candidatus Yanofskyibacteriota. The record is from RNAcentral.